UGCGAUUUURUUAUGUUGGUUUCUAGGACGCAGUAAUGAUUAAAAGGGAUAGUCGGGGGCGUCAGUAUUCAGCUGUCAGAGGUGAAAUUCUUGGAUUUGCUGAAGACUAACUACUGCGAAAGCAUUKCCAAGGAGUUUUCAUUAAUCAGGAAACGAAAGUUAGGGGACGAAGARGAUCAAAUACCGUGGAAGUCUUAACCAAAAAUUAUCCGACUAGGGAUCGGGCGGUGUUUAUAGGAGAUCCGCUCGGCACCUUUAKCGAAGAAAAAAAUA
This 273-nucleotide ribosomal RNA is filed under the name uncultured amoeba. Its description in RNAcentral is "partial 18S ribosomal RNA". It matches the Rfam family "Eukaryotic small subunit ribosomal RNA", at positions 841 to 1116 of the family's 1831-position model. The record is from RNAcentral.